Molecule: ribosomal RNA, 498 nt
Filed under: uncultured soil bacterium
Lineage: Bacteria
Description: bacterial SSU rRNA
Rfam family: Bacterial small subunit ribosomal RNA
Source: RNAcentral
CGAAUUCCAAGCUUGUGCCAGCCGCCGCGGUAAUACGGGGGGAGCAAGCGUUGUUCGGAUUUACUGGGCGUAAAGGGCGCGUAGGCGGCCAGCGCAAGUCAGUUGUGAAAUCUCCGGGCUUAACUCGGAAAGGUCAACUGAUACUGCGCGGCUAGAGUGCGGAAGGGGCAACUGGAAUUCUCGGUGUAGCGGUGAAAUGCGUAGAUAUCGAGAGGAACACCUGCGGCGAAGGCGGGUUGCUGGGCCGACACUGACGCUGAUGCGCGAAAGCCAGGGGAGCGAACGGGAUUAGAUACCCCGGUAGUCCUGGCCUUAAACGAUGGAUGCUUGGUGUCUGGAGUUUUAUAGUCUCCGGGUGCCGCAGCUAACGCGUUAAGCAUCCCGCCUGGGGAGUACGGUCGCAAGACUGAAACUCAAAGGAAUUGACGGGGACCCGCACAAGCGGUGGAGCAUGUGGUUCAAUUCGACGCAACGCGAAGAACCUUACCUGGGCUAGCC